AUCAAACUCAGUCAAACUCGGUUAAAAUCGGUCAAACUCGGUAAACUCGGUCCGAGUUUACCGAGUUUAACAAAAUUAUCAAAAACUAUGGAAUCUUCUCACUGUUCUCAGUCCUCUCCUCUCCAUCCCGUUAGUCUCACAAAAAUCCCCCCUUUUCCUUUUCCCUUUCCCCAAAUCAACCCUAGCAGAAGCAGAUCUCACAUUCUUUUAUUCUCAAAUCUUAAACCCAGCAGAAGCCAACACCUUCCACUCUCUUUCUCUCAAAACCCCCAUUUUUUUUCUUUAUUUCGUUUGCCUUUGAUCUGAUUGUCUCCGCCUCUCCGGUCUCCAGUUUCCAGUCUCCACUCCUCUGCUUUGUUUGCUGGAUUCUUUCAUUAGUGGUCAGUUAAAUAAUAUUGAACUUGCUGUUAAUCUUGCAACUGGUGCUGAAAAUCUUCCAGGUAAACACAUUAUUUUUUGUUAAUCUUUUCUUCUUCCUCCUCAUCCAUGGCGAUGAAGUGUCUGAUAUAGAAAAAGACUUGAGUGCCUGUCAUAUUAACAUUUGCUCAUUUGCUGAAUCAUAAGAUCUUUUCUCUUUUGUAAUUUCGCAUGCCUUAUUAACUGUGCUGACAAGUCUUGUAUGUGUGUAUAUAUAUAUAUUGCCAUAUUGGGUUUUUGCAAUCUUUGAAUGUUUGUGUCCUAAUCUGAUAGACGGUACCAAAGAUGUUGCUUUCAAAUGGUUGCUUUCAGUUUCUGGUUUUCAUAAUUUUAAUUGUCCAAGAUCCUUUGUAAAUAUCUAAUGGUUUCGGCAAAUAAUUAAAAUGUAUAAAUGAAUCCUCUAAGCUCUAACAGGAGUGAUCCCGUGAUAGAAUUUGAAUGAAUCCUGAAGCCAACCACUUUGGACAGCUAGGAAUUUUAGAGUAUCUUGUUAACUAUUGGCGAAAACAAUGUGGAGAUUGCUACAAUGCUGCUACAUCAUAUAUAGCUCCAAAACCCAUCUUUCUUUUUAUUGCAAUUCCCACCAGAAUGAGCAGAGCAUGAAAUGAAUGCUUAAUACUGUCCUGAAUUUUGGUUGCUUUCUACUGUAUUUUUCGAACCCAUGCUUCCUAUAUUAGCAUAUCUAAGAUGAAGAAACAUACUCCACAACUUGUGAUUAUUGGAAUUCAUAUUAUCUUAGUCAAACUGGAGUUUCACGUUGCAAGAUCAUUGCUUGUUUUGUCAGUGAAGCAAGCUCUACCAUUCUCUUUAAAAGCUCUUUUUAUUUCUCUAAUAUUUGCAAAAGGGCAGAGCAUGAUCUAAUGGUCUCUGUAUGUGUUGCUUUAGCUUUCGGUAUUCCCUGGAAAGUCUGAUAAAUAAUGAGAUAAAAGAACAACUUAUGACGGUAUUGUUGUUUAAAAAAUCUAAUGAACAAAA
Populus nigra (black poplar) is the source of this 1392-nucleotide long non-coding RNA. RefSeq lists it as uncharacterized. NCBI's taxonomy places the organism in Eukaryota, Viridiplantae, Streptophyta, Magnoliopsida, Malpighiales, Salicaceae. The transcript has 2 exons. The record is from RefSeq and is a predicted model, not a curated record.